Molecule: ribosomal RNA, 253 nt
Filed under: uncultured bacterium
Lineage: Bacteria
Description: partial 16S ribosomal RNA
Rfam family: Bacterial small subunit ribosomal RNA
Source: RNAcentral
GACGUAGGUGGCGAACGUUAUCCGGAAUUAUUGGGCGUAAAGGGUGCGUAGGCUGCGGAGCAAGUCUGGUGUGAAAUUUGUGAGCUCAACUCGCAACUAGCACCUGAUACUACUUUGCUAGAGAUCUGGAGAGGAGCUUGGAAUUCUCGGUGUAGCAGUGAAAUGCGUAGAUUUCGAGAAGAACGCUCGCUGCGAAAGCGAAGCUCUGGCCAGAUUCUGACGCUGAGGCACGAAGGCUAGGGGAGCAAACGGG